AGUUUGAUCCUGGCUCAGGAUGAACGCUGGCGGCGUGCUUAACACAUGCAAGUCGAACGGGAAUUACUUUAUUGAAACUUCGGUCGAUUUAAUUUAAUUCUAGUGGCGGACGGGUGAGUAAUACAUAGGUAACCUGCCCCUGUGCGGGGGAUAACAGGAGGAAACUCCUGCUAAUACCGCAUAGCCAUGAGCACCGCAUGGAGCUCAUGCCAAAUAUCCUUUCGGGGAUAGCGCAGGGAUGGACCUAUGGCGCAUUAGCUGGUUGGCGGGGCAACGGCCCACCAAGGCAACGAUGCGUAGCCGGCCUGAGAGGGCGGACGGCCACAUUGGGACUGAGACACGGCCCAGACUCCUACGGGAGGCAGCAGUAGGGAAUUUUCGGCAAUGGGGGAAACCCUGACCGAGCAACGCCGCGUGAGCGAAGAAGGCCUUCGGGUCGUAAAGCUCUGUUGUAAAGGAAGAACGGCGCAUACAGGAAAUGGUAUGCGAGUGACGGUACUUUACCAGAAAGCCACGGCUAACUACGUGCCAGCAGCCGCGGUAAUACGUAGGUGGCGAGCGUUAUCCGGAAUCAUUGGGCGUAAAGAGGGAGCAGGCGGCCGCAAGGGUCUGUGGUGAAAGCCCGAAGCUAAACUUCGGUAAGCCAUGGAAACCGGGCGGCUAGAGUGCGGAAGAGGAUCGUGGAAUUCCAUGUGUAGCGGUGAAAUGCGUAGAUAUAUGGAGGAACACCAGUGGCGAAGGCGACGGUCUGGGCCGCAACUGACGCUCAUUCCCGAAAGCGUGGGGAGCAAAUAGGAUUAGAUACCCUAGUAGUCCACGCCGUAAACGAUGGUCACUAAGUGUCGGGGGUCAAACCCCGGUGCUGCAGUCAACGCAAUAAGUGACCCGCCUGAGUAGUAUGUUCGCAAGAAUGAA
RNAcentral lists this ribosomal RNA (915 nucleotides) under uncultured bacterium. RNAcentral describes it as "bacterial SSU rRNA". It matches the Rfam family "Bacterial small subunit ribosomal RNA", at positions 10 to 898 of the family's 1533-position model. The record is from RNAcentral.